CAAAGUUUUAAAUCUUGCCUAAUCUGUUGCAUUGACUAGCACCUCCAGACAAUAUUAAAUCAUUGGAGGAGAUGGGUGGACUGUGAGUAUCCCUCCACUCCAGCUCAGUUUAGUUUCUUCACUUUGACGGUAAAACUUCUAGUAUUUGCCCAUUAAACUCAACACUGCCUUUGGCUUGAGAUUUUUCCGUUCAAUGAGGAAAUGCUCGUUAUUUUUAAUUGAGACUUUGUGUAAUGGAUGCUGUGAAUAGUACCAUUUCACUCUAUGAUUUUGCUUCCUGAUGCAUUAAUACGGCUAUUAACAUGCUUCCUAAUACUGAACCAUCUCUGAGUCACAAGCAGGAGCCUCCUUCUUAUGGUCUACUUUUAAAGAGUUGCCACUAGAGCUUUCAUAAAGCUUUAAAAACUGCCACCAGAAUUUUAAAAGGUAUUAGUGGUGGUUUUACACCUAUGCUGAUGCAGUGGGGGUGGGGCCCACACGGACAACUCCAUGCGUGUUCCACAGGCACCUUCUGUCCACCCUUCCUUUCCAAGCUUCUUCAGUCACUCCUCUCACAGACUUUGCUCUUGACAUCUGGAGUGGGGAUAAGCAGAACCCAGGACCCAUAAUUCCUCUGGACUCAUACUCCAUGAUCCCUUCCAGGGUCCCAACUCCAACGCCCACCCAAACUAUGACCUGGGCAGGCAGGGUCGCCACUGAUUUUCUUGUGUUUGCUGAGUGACUGUGUGAAGCAUCUGCAGUGUCCUGAGACUUUCGGCUGUGGCUGGGCUAAGCCUUGUCUCUAAAUUACCACUUUCAAUCCCAAGGAAAGCCCAGUACUGACACCCUGAGAGGGUAAUAGGCAGGAAGGCUAGGGGUCCCCAGAUGGAGGAAAUAGGUUGCAAGUGUCAGACAUUUUUUUUUUCUCUCUCUUAAGUGGCAGGAGGAAACAAACUACAAGUGUCAGACAUUUUCCCCUUCUCUAUGCAAAAUUAAAAGGUUUCUUUAAAAAUUUUGUGUUGCCAUGAUGACACCUGGUUCCACCUGAAAUUAACUUUUCUCAAACCUUGAGCUAACCAAUGCGUUUUUCUUAUGGAAAUGUUUUUCUUAAGCUAUGUUAAUGAACUAUGUACUUACCUUAGACUCUGUCUUUCAUCAAGUAGGUUCUGCCUAAGACUCAGAAAACCAGCAUGUUUUACUCACGGAAAUGUUCUCUUAAGCUAUGUUAAUGCAACUGUGUAUUUGCUUGGAAAUCUGCCUUUCUUCAAGAUUCAAGUCAAUUUUUUUUAAGGAAUUUAUUUGGUCGCAAGAGGUCUUCGUUGAGGCGUGUGGAAUCUAGUUCCCUGACCACGGACUGAACCUGGGCCCCCUGCAUUGGAAGCAUAGACUCUUAACCACUGGGCCACCAGGGAAGUCCCCAUGUCAACUGUUGUAUGGCCUGGGAUGACUCACCUUGUGCCAGUGUUAUCGCAAAAUGCAUGUUGUGGGUGAGGGGCCGGGUGCCACUCUGAGUUUUCAGACAUUUCCUUUUCUCUAAUUAGCAGCUUACUAAUAGGUAUAUAACUUCUUGCUGAAAACUAGCAAGUUAAUAAAACUUUAUUACACAAAAUUUCUGAGCGGUCAAGCCUUGUCACUGGCUCUGGAUCAAAUUCAUCUCCUCCAGAGGCCAAGAAUCCCGGCGUCGUUCAUAGCUCAAAAGAGACAACUUUUCAACCCUUCCUACAGGCUGACCUCCAGGCAUGGGCCCACUCCUCCUCAACCCUCCAGACCUUACCUUGACUCCAUAGGAAUGUGUUUGGCUCUGACUCCAUCAGAUUGGGAGUUCUUGGGGCCCCUAUGGGCCCUGCCUUGUCCAGUGUGAAGUAGGUACCUG
This 1852-nucleotide long non-coding RNA is filed under the name Bos taurus (domestic cattle). RNAcentral describes it as "long non-coding RNA NONBTAT031086". The record is from RNAcentral. Lineage: Eukaryota; Metazoa; Chordata; Mammalia; Artiodactyla; Bovidae.